Molecule: long non-coding RNA, 6548 nt
Organism: Aethalodelphis obliquidens (Pacific white-sided dolphin)
Lineage: Eukaryota; Metazoa; Chordata; Mammalia; Artiodactyla; Delphinidae
Exons: 4
Source: RefSeq, a predicted model, not a curated record
AGAAGGUAAAACUGAGUCAAGAAGAUGCAUUUGUUAGACUAUUGGUUCCGCUGCCUCUAACAGACACCUACAGUAUCAGUGGCUUAAACAAUAUCGAGGUUUAUUGCUCUCUUACUAAUAGGCUGAAGGUUGGCCAUCUAGGACUUACACAGUGGCUCCAUGAUGUCAGAGACUGAAGCUCCCCUUGUCUUACUGCUUCAUCAUUCCUAGGGGAUGGCCCUCAUCGGCAUGGUCGAGAUGUCCACAUCCUCGGCCCAGGCAGGAGAGAGAGGCAGAGCAUGCUGCCUCCCCAGAAGAUGCUCCCAGCGCUUAACCAACCACAGGAAAAGCUGGGAAAUGUUGUCUUUAUUUUGGGCAACCAGUAAAAGCAGAUUCUCUUAAGAGGGAGGAAGGGAACAGACUUUGGGGAACAACAAGUAGUCUCUCCAGCAUAUUCCUGGAAAAUAGAACAUUUCAGAGGGGGAGUGGGCGGGCCAGGGAGGGAGGAAUCAUUACCUCAUCCGAAGAACGACAUCUGGCUUAAAAAGUGUCUAAGUCACCAUCAAAAAGGCUGUGCUCCCCCUGGUUUUCCUUUAGAGGGGGAACACUCCCUGUCGCAGGAGCUCUUCCUCCUGGGACUCUGGGCCCAGUGUGUGAAGUGGCCGUGCAGUUACUGACCCGCCCCCAAUCAGAGCCGGCCCACAGCACCCUUAGGAUACGUGAGGACGGCAAACAAGAUUCUGGGCUGGGAGAAUGGUCAGGAACUGGAAGGAGGAGAUUCUUCCAGCAGCAAAGCUAAUUAAAAGGAAAAGCCUGUUUUCCAAGGGCGCCUCUUCAAUAUGCGAGCAUCCUGCCUUCUCACCAUUACCUGCCUCACUUGUCACCAAAAUGCAAUCCAUUCCUGGUCGCUUCCACCUUUAGACUUUGCACAUCCUUUCCUCAGUGCUCCUUCCUUUAUUCCUCCAGCUGCUUAAACCAUUUUCUCAAGCCUUUGAACAACACACAUACACUCUCCUUCCCCCACAUUCUUUUUUAAACAAAGAGAAUUCUGCUUUCUGUUACCAAAAAAAAAAAAAAAAAAAAAAACCCCCAAAGCCGGAGACAAUUCUGUCCUUUCGGUCCACAUGGUGAAUCUUUCUACCUGCAUGGAACUUAGCUUGAGUGGCAGGUCUACGCCAAGAAGCAGCACCCUGUCGCUGUCACGACGGGCAGAGCAGAGUUUUUCCCCUUAAUAAUGCUAUUUCUAACUGAAUGCCCAUUGCAGUUUUGAUACCAGCAGCGUGUGUUACUAGACAACAGUUCCUAGUUCUUUCCAGGCCGUUAGCAUGGCCGUGAGCAGGCGGGUUCCACCCACACCAGAACAGCCCUGGUGUGAAGUGAAGUGCUGUAUGGUUUACAGAGCGUUUCACAUGCAUGGUCUCGUUUCAGCCUCACGCUCACCCUGGCAGUAAAUAAAUAGCAAUAACAUCACCCCCAUUUUGGUGAUGAAAAAAACUGAGGCUGGGAGCAGUUAAGUGACUGCGAAUGAACUAAAACUGGGUCCAGUCUGUCUGUGUUGCUAAUGUAAGAUGUUGCAGAACUGUCUGUGGUUAAAAGAGAAGGAAUAUUUAUUUUUAACAGUGUUCUUUUCUUCUUGCCACAGUUCAAGAUUGUCCUAAAAUUUGAUUUGAUAGAAGUAUUUUCCCUAGUCCUCUAAGUCAGUCUUUGAAAUGCUUUUCUGCCUCUGGGUCUUGUUUUGCUUUGAGGCGUGGAUGGCAAACACGGAUCUCUCUUAUAUAAUCUCUAGGUCUUACAUUUUAGUUCUCUACCUGAACAUUUGUAAUGCCACUUUGAUUCUACCACAGUAAAGGAAAGCAAUCUCUCAUUUCUGCCGUUGAAACUUAGAUAUCUAAGAUUAAAGGAACUAUAUGUAAGUAUUGCUUAUCCAGAAGCCUUCUGAAUAUUUCCUUGCUAAUGGAAAUGCUGGAUGUUUUUAAGCAACAUUAUUUCUUACAAAACAAUUUGAAAAGGAAAAAAAAAAUCACACAAGGAUAACAGACUGUUUUUUAUAAGAAGAAGCUAGUUUUCACAAAAAGUAUUGUUAUCAGUUUAUAAGGCUGCUAGAGAAUGGAUUUUGUAUUGAAAAUAGCUAAGAGCAUAGUCAUUGUUUUAAAGAUGCUUUAGGAUGGGGAUAAAUGUUCAGUAUUUUUUUUAACAUGUACUGGCAUGUAUCUGGAUGAGGUUUUUUAAAGAAAAAUCACAAGUUUUAUAAAAUCUAAGAAACUUUAAAACUGUGUCAUUUAUAAUGUAAAAUUAAUGCAGUUGAAAUUCAGUGGUUGACUCAUAGCUCCCACAUUCAUCUUCAGUUCUCUUUAGCUCAUAUGGUUUUCUUUAAAAAUUAGUGAUAUCAGCUAAAUGGGACUCUUUCCCACUCCUACCCACAGAGAAAAGUGCUUUUGUGAACAUGUCAGCUCUUUUCCAUCAUUACAUGCCAUCGUGGAGUGCAACAGAAGCAAGCUGGCUGUUCGUACCCAUCACCAGUAUUAGUACAAGUUCAGGAGCAAAAUCCAAAUAAGAUAACCUUAAAAUUUCCAUUUGUUUAUUUUAUGCACAUAAGCCACAUUUUUGGUACCAAGGAAUUUUAUAUCUACACUGGAUCUUUCGAGUCUUCCAAUCUAGCCUCUUUAUUUUGGAUCUGGGGAAACUAAGGCACAGAGAGGCUCAGCAACUUGCCCAAAGUCACACAGCUCACAGCUGAGCCUAGAACCCAGGUCUGUGUGACUGCAAAGCCUUUGCUCCUGCUACAAUGCUUCACAGAGAGGAGAUUAUUUACCCCGAUCAUUUGGCCCGUGCCCUGCAGCACCCUCCGCUGGUGCCAUGCUAAUUAGGAGGCAGUUUCACGAAUGUUCUGUAAAAUGUUAAGAUGUGAAGCCAGCUACCAUAUCUCUCCAGAAAUCUUCUCAACUCUGCUUCUAGCAAUCAAUUUAGGUUUCUCCAGACUAAGCAGUUCUGUCACACCUUCCUGUGAUUUGCUUUCUAGUUACCAUCUUCUGGACAUAUUCCUUUGACACAUUCCAGUUUUAUUAAGAUGGGACCCACCCAAAACGGGACUCCUCCAACUUGUUCCUCAUCCUUAUGUUUCCAGUGUCCAUGAGUCCCACUGCCGUCCUUUGUGUGUCCCAGCCCUAAAAACGCAGUCGCUUUGCCUCUCCUUCUCUCCCAACCCCCAGCAUCCACGCAAUUUCUCCCACAGCUUACUCUCUUCUUACUUCUACUACUCAUAUUUUUCCUUGACUGUGGAAAUAGUCCCUUAACUGCUUUUCUUGCCUCAAGUCUCUCCAGAAAUGCUUUCUUAAACUUCAAUUGCUAUGCAAGGUCUAAUUGCUGUUGGUUUGUCUCCCCCAGGACCAAGAAGCCCCCAGUUCUGGAUUCUGGUUCUGCUGUGCGUCUGCCAGCUCUUUGGCUUUAGCCUGCUGCCUGGAAUGUGGAUGUGAUAUCUGGCAUCCUAGCUGCCCUUUCAGACCUGAGGAUAAGGGCAACACCGUAAGGAUGGUGGAGCUGUGAGCCGGAAGAAGCCUUUGUCCCUGAAGACUUCACAAGCAAAUCUACUAUAGCAGCCCCUGGCUACCUACUUCUGUGCUUUUAUACGAGAGAGAGAAACGACUAUCUUAUCUUCCUCAUCGCAGAAAAAGGAUGACUCUACCCUAUGUUGUGGAAUUAAAUGAGAUGAUACAAAUGAAAUGCCUUACCCAGUACCUGGCACAUAGUAAGUACUGAACUGACAGUCACUUCCCUCACCACCAUUCCAACUUCUGCAACACAUUUUUUUUUUUUUUUUUUUGGCUGUGCCGUGCAGCAUGCAGGAUCUUAGUUCCCCAACCAGGGAUCGAACCCGUGCCCCCUGAAGUGGAAGCACGGGGCCCUAACCAUUGGACCACCAGGGAAUUCCCCACAAUUUUAAUUAAAUGGGAAAAGAUUUCUCAGUAUCCUUUAUUUAGCUGUAUGUCUCCCCUACUGGAGUGCAAGCUCUGUGAGAAAAUGGGGCCAGGUCUGUAUUAUUCAUUGCUCCAUCUUUUGCAUAUGGCAGGUGCUCAAUAAAUAUUUUUAGGAUAAAUGAAUAACUGCUAUAUGCACUUAUUUGAUUUUUCAUUUUCACCUUCAAUGAGCUUAAUGUUCUUGUUUCCUUUUUCACAUCGUAUAAAUCAUCGACUUCUAUUUAUUCAGUGUGCACUGUUUUCCUACUGCAAACCAGCCAACGCCUGAGGAAGAAUGGAGGCUGGGCUCCUGGACAAGCCAGGCUGCCGGGCAGUCGGUGAGGUUGCCGGCCACUCUCUCCCCUGGAGAGGAUGAUGCCCACAGAGGCACUGGGGGAGGCAAUCAUCCCACUUUCACCUUCUGGCCCCUAUGGAGCACACAGCUCUCUCACUUACACUCACGGGCUCCUUUCAUUCCCAUAAUAGUCCUAGGAGGGAGAAGUUGUUUUACUGUGUCAGGCAGGGGCCCAGAAGGGGACAGAUUAGCUCACCCAAGCUGGGGAACUGAGGAAUGUUUAAUAAAGGGAUUUUAUAAAAGUUUGAGCAGGGUUUAAGGAACCCUGCAAGGAAUAGUGUAGUCCCUGGGGCUGGUGACAGCUGGAGUCCUUAUCCCUCCUGCGGCAGCCACCCAGGAGGGAGGGAGCUGGAAGAACAAACUCCCUGGCCUCACUCUUCUCCUGCCAGGGCUCCACAGUGGCCAAAGGCAACCGCAACCACGUGGUCCAGAGGGGUGGGCCUUCAGGCCAUGAGCAGGGUGAGAAAAGUCAAGAAUGACUCUGGAAGAGCAAACAGGGCAAGGCCUGACGGUUCAACAGUACCAGGAGGGGGAACCCAGGCAGUCCAGCUGUUAGCUACUGGAGUUUUCCAUGAGGAACCAAGAGACGGUCAUGUCUGCAUGGGAUGAAUGGGUACCGCCCAGAUGGGGAAGGAAGACAGCCCCCUCUUUAUAAACGCAUACACACCCCCAUGCCGCUCUGUGAACUGACAGGAAACCACCUGCUGACGUAACUCCAGCAGUGUGGAAAUGUUGCAGUGAAUUUCCCCCAGCACAAGGCCCCAGCAGCAGUUAAGACCCUAGACUCGGGAAUCAGACUGGCCAGGACGUGAAUCCCAACUCUCUCACCAGCUAUGUGAAUUUGGGCCUCAUCCGUAAAAUGGAAACUGUCAUACCAGCGGGGGUGUUAGGGUUACAGGCAGUGUGCGAUUUGCUUUGCAUUCAUUAAACAUUAGCUAAAAACACUAUCUUGGUAACAGCUAUGGCUUUGCACUAUGAUAGUUUUUUGACCUAAUUUACUUACUCAUUCCAACUUUCAGAAUCCUUUAAGAAUGGAUAUUUCUGUAACUGAGAAGAAGGAUAAUGGUACCACAUAGAGAUUUAUAGUUUUAAACUCCUUUCCCUUAGAUUAUCAAAUGGGAUUGUUACAAAAACCCAGUGAGAAAGUCUACAGAAAUAUUACUCUGCCUCUUUUAAAGAUGGAGAAGCUGACAGCCAAAGAGUCUCAGUGGCUCGUUCAAGGUCACCGAGGCAAUAAACGUGAUGACAUCCCACUGAAAAGGCAACGCCCACUAUGUGGUCUCCUAAAGGCAGAUGGAAGCUGCAGCUCAGAGGGGGCACCUUGUGUGUGCCCAUCACUCUGCAGCCGUCUUUUGGCUGCAUCAUUUAACAAUGUGCGUUUCCCCAAAUUAUAAUUUUGUCCUUUGCUUGCAACAGAGAAUAUCAGAGCCACUUCCUCCCGGUAAACCUGCGAGCAGGGGAGUGGUGAGUGCCCACGGUCAGGUUGGCGGCACCCCACUCACUGCUGUUUAGGCUUCCUCAGUACAGACCACUCCUCCGGCCUCUCCUGGCAGAGAGCAGUGCGUUCACUCCCUCAGCUUCACUAGUGCUUUCUCUGUGGCCAGGGAAGAAAGCAGAGUUUGCCCCCAGGCUUCACUUACUGGAGGUGCAUGCUUUACAAAGAGAAGCCCAUCUCUGAAAGCACAGCAUGCAUUAGCAUCCUCUCCUUCGGAGAGAGCUAUUUUUGUCUUUCGUCUUCAGAGACUGUUCCAAAGUAGGGGAUGCAAGGAUCAGGAGGAGAACCAAAAAAACCCAAGGUCUCCAGCUCAGAAGAGAGCAAAUCACUGUCAUAUCCUCAAACAAUUGCCGCAGCAGUGACGGAGAACAAACUGUGCUGGAGUCGGGCUGCCCUUGGGUACAGGGCAACAUCCAGAAAGAGACAGAUCUCUUUCUGUGGGAUUUCUCUCCGUACACUUCGCCACUUCGCGGAACAAGGUUCGUUGCCAUGGUUACCAGCAAAUCACAUGAUAGCCUCGCUCCCUAGAAGUGUAGGAGAACAGCCGGCUCAGACUGUGAUGGAGAGAGAAGAUGCUUUCCUCCCCAGCAUGUUUGCUUUUCCUGAGCAAACCUACGCAGCACUUUCCCGUUCUGACCUGCCCACUUAGGGGGAUCAGAUUUGACUGAGAUUAAGAAAGAAGAGAAGGGGCUUCCCUGGUGGCAGAGUGGUUGAGAAUCCGCCUGCCAAUGCAGGGGACACGGAUUCGAGCCCUGGUCCGGGAAGA